CCAGACCCGUGGAGCCCUUAGGGUUUAGAGGACCAGCGUAGAAAUUCUCAUCCAGGCAGUUUGAUCCUUUUGGUUCUCAAAAGGGAAUUGAAUGUACAUAUCUGCUUAUUAUUCUCAAAUAAUUUCUUCUUUCACGUUAUUAUUUCUCAAAUCUUUCCUUUUUUUCCCUCUCCACAGAAAAAGCUACAGAAAAUUUAAAAGUAUUUUCAGAAAAGACAGUACACUGAGUAGGAUUUGCACAUCAAGAAAAAGUAGAAAUGGGAGCUGGGAGUCAAGUGUUUUGGAGGGGGAUAGAGAAAAAGAUUAGGCUGGAAGGGGUACUGGGCCAGUUGUCGGGGCGUGUACACCCGUGUGUGUGUGUGUGUGUGUGUGUGUGUGUGUGUGUGUGUGUGUGUGGUGUGUGUGUAACUUUCUCACUGAACGUUUACUUGAACAACUCCAGCACUGUCUAGACUGGAUUAACAGAAAGAUGUGUGUGGGCAGUUGGGGGGUUUGUGGGCAGGCAACCCUGGUAAUGGGAUGCAGUGAUGGCAGCUGGGCUGCUGAGCAGGCAUGAUGAGCUGCAGAAGGAGCAGGGCUCUGGUUCCCAUGCUGGUCCAUCGUGCUGGUGUGGAGCUUCCUCCAGGCUGUGGGGUGUGCAUGGUAGGUGGGGCUUCCCUCCUUCCCCAAACUAGCCCAGCAAUUCCCCAGGAAGUCAGGCCACUGCUACUGCUUCUGACUGCACUGCAUCUCUAAAGGGAGUGUCACCCUGUCUGUACCAAGGAUGGGGACAGCAGAAGAAUCUCACAGGCCAGGUGGGUCUCAAUUGGUAAAUGCAGGGUGGACAUAUGUGUGUUUGCUGUGGCUCACCACUCUGUCCUUUGCAGACACUGCUAAUUAGUCAGUCACAGGAUUCUCACCCCAGUGCCCAGUGAGCACUACCAAAAGCUCCAGAUGGCUUAUAAGCAUCUGGAGACUCUUGUAUUCCCUGUGGAUCCUUCCUGACCAGAUCUCAGAACCUUCCCUGGAAAUGAGGAAGUGGCAUGUCACCACCCAGUACCUGUACUGUCAGAGAUGGCAUCCCGGGUGACCAUUCCCUGAGUGGAGGAAGAGAGGGUUCCGUGCAGGGGACUUCCUUGGUGGAUGAUGGGGUAAGUGAGGCCUUUGGUCUGGCAUAAAGCCUGUGUGGAGCAGAGACUCCAGUGGGGCUGUGACAAGCAGCUGCUGCUCAACCAGGCCUCCCAGGACACUUUGUCCCCCUCCCACCACAGCUGAGCCUGGAUGAGACUGUGGACACCCAUAGACACCAGAGGAUGAGACCUUGAGCAGUGGUGGUUCUGGGGUGUGGGGUGAAGGCAGCUGGGACAGGGCCUCCAGGUGUGGGAGGAUCCAGCCUCUCUUGUGAGGCCCUGGGCACAUCACUGCCCUCUGUGGGCCUCUGUUUCCUCAUCUGGCAGAUGAACAAACGAUGAGCCUGUUGAGCAGGCCUCACAGCGUCCUGAUGGGGUUCAGUAAGGAAGGGAAUUUAUGGGUGCUUGUACCUUGCUCUUCCCACGAAGGAUGAUGGUGAGAGCACUGCUGAGAGCCACAUGAAACUGAGUCAUCAGGAGGCCCUGUGAGGAAGGCGUGGUUCCCAUCACACUUCCUUGAUGAAAAAAUAGUCUCAGGGAGGUCCGGCCACCUGCCCAAGGUGACACAAGCAGUGGAGACCUCCAAACUGGCCAUGCAGGAGAUGAUUCCUCACACAGCACAGAUGAGGCUGUGGGGCAGCAGGUGAGUGGAUCUGUGGUGGGAGGGGCUCCAGGGAGCCGAAGGGCAGUCUUCUUCCCCACCAGCUGGAGGCCUCCACAUCAAGAGAGCAGGGGGUCUUCCUCCCCCAGCCCUGCCCUCCUGUGGCCACAGGGCCUGAAAUGCCUCCAUUAGAGGGAGCAGAGAAACCAACCGCCUGGGCAAGCUGGGCUCAGUGUAGAUUUGGGGAACAGUGAGA
RNAcentral lists this long non-coding RNA (1966 nucleotides) under Homo sapiens (human). RNAcentral's name for it is "HSALNT0123440". The record is from RNAcentral. Lineage: Eukaryota; Metazoa; Chordata; Mammalia; Primates; Hominidae.